GUGCCAUGAUGUUAAACUGUCAACACAUCAUUCUGAAGAAUUGUGUGGAGACUUUUGUGAACUGAGCCCA
Cinclus cinclus is the source of this 70-nucleotide small nucleolar RNA. RefSeq annotates it as small nucleolar RNA SNORD63. The transcript has a single exon. The record is from RefSeq and is a predicted model, not a curated record. NCBI's taxonomy places the organism in Eukaryota, Metazoa, Chordata, Aves, Passeriformes, Cinclidae.